Hirundo rustica (Barn swallow) is the source of this 638-nucleotide long non-coding RNA. RefSeq lists it as uncharacterized. Lineage: Eukaryota; Metazoa; Chordata; Aves; Passeriformes; Hirundinidae. The record is from RefSeq and is a predicted model, not a curated record. The transcript is spliced from 3 exons.
CCAAAAAGGGUCGAAUGCCAACGGGCUUGGAGAUGAAAAACAGCAUUGCUGUGCAAAACGCCACCGCUAUCCAGAGGAGCACGGAAAACAACGGCGAGAGCGUGCCUGUACAGAGGAGAAAGGGAGAUUUGAGAAAGGCAUCUUUGGAGACUCCAUUUUUCACCAAGAAACGGAUCCAAAAGAUCAAUUCCUUUGCCAGCAGAGCUAACAAAAGCGUGAUUCAUGCAUCGCAACUGCUGACCACGGCUUGCCCUAAUUGCAGCAGGAGCUAUUAUUCUCACAGUAUUGUUGCUUUUUUGCACAGAUACACAGCUGAGCAGCAUCACUGGGAUUAGAAAACAAUGAGACCGGGCCCUAGCCUCAACAUUCAGAUGGCAUCCGAACUUUUCCGAAGUUCGGGAGUGUUUUAUCCCUGGUGGGAGGUUGAAGGUCAGCUCUGACAGAAGACUUUCUUCGCCAACAAGAUUUGGAAACUUCUAAAGGAUCCUAAAAAAUUACUUUCAAGCCCAUCUGAAAGAUCCUCAGUCUGCUGGAAAAAGUCAUUGACUUUGCUCCCUUGUUCAUCUCUCUCUGUUGUAUUGAACACCCGACUUUUGGAUUCCCGAGUGAGGAAUUCACAAAUAUUGGGGACAGGAAAG